This 364-nucleotide unclassified non-coding RNA is filed under the name uncultured bacterium. RNAcentral describes it as "contains 16S-23S intergenic spacer region". The record is from RNAcentral.
UCCUGGUUAUCCCAGGCAGUCUCCAAUGAAAAUCCAACAUUGAAAAGGGGUUGCGCUCGUUGCGGGACUUAACCCAACAUCUCACGACACGAGCUGACGACGGCCAUGCAGCACCUGUCACUCGGCUCCUUGCGGCACUUCUCUGUUUCCAGAAAAUUCCGAGGAUGUCAAGCCUUGGUAAGGUUCUUCGCUUACUGACGAAUUAAACCACAUGCUCCACCGCUUGUGCGGGCUCCCGUCAAUUCCUUUGAGUUUUAGUCUUGCGACCGUACUUCCCAGGCGAGGUACUUAACGCGUUAGCUUACGGUUCUGAAAGGGUCGACACUCCCAAAACCUAGUACCCAUAGUUUACAGCGUGGACUAC